This 1185-nucleotide long non-coding RNA is filed under the name Monodelphis domestica (gray short-tailed opossum). RNAcentral's name for it is "lncRNA (ENSMODG00000036568.1)". Lineage: Eukaryota; Metazoa; Chordata; Mammalia; Didelphimorphia; Didelphidae. The record is from RNAcentral.
GAAAAAUCUAGAAGGCAUCUCCUUCCAUGCUCUUUUAUUAUUUUUUAUGUGACCAUUUAUGUUUAGGAAUCAGAUUGAGGGGAUGCAGAGGCCCAAAUCAACUACUGCAGUAUGGCUGGCAAUCUCAGAGAGAUGACGACCUGCCAAAUUCCCGACACACAGGCGGAUGUGUGGGAGCUCCAUAAAGGCCCUUUGAUGAUGCUGAUGCAAGUGGGCCUGGAAGUUCUCAACCUCAAAGUGAACUAGGGAGCCUGUGAUGUUACUUCAGGCACAUCCUGCCCCGACAUAGGACAGCCUCAGAGAUAGGUCAUUUCCCUUCUAAACGUCUGCAGUUACCUCAUAGCCCUGGGAAGGCUUUCCUUUCCCCGGAGCCUCCGGAGGAAGAGAAAGGCGCAUAUUUGGAGCAUGUGCGGGAGUUGCUCUGAGCUUUUGCAGAAGGCUGACUCUUUGGACGAGCGGGAGGGAACCGUAACACCAGCUGUCGGCAUAGCCAACUGUUUCGUUUCACAAGAAGACCACAGAUCGGAGUUAAAAAUACCAGACUUCAGCUGAAGAGGGCUAAAGGAACAAAAAGAUAAUCUCUUAACAAACAACGGGGACAACAAUGGAUUUAAUAAGCCCUGAGCAAUUCAGGAGUCUUAUUAAAAAAUGACUCAAUGAAAUAUGAUAUGGCUCUUUGGCUAUUUGUGAUUAAUUUGUUAACCCAGAGGAUGUCUCGGCAGGUGCCCUCCCUAUUAUCACGUGAACCAAUGCCCAUUUAGUUGGAGGUCAGAAACAUGUAAAUUUUUUUUAAUGUCAUUCCUCUUGCUGCUCUGUGAUGUGAGAUUUGGUAAAUUGUUUAAGACUUCUGCAAAUCCACCUUUCUUUUCACUGCUCAGACUAUCUUAGCUGUACUGGAAUGAAUAGCAUGCUAAUGGAAUUCGGGCCCCCUCUGUAGAAGGCAGAUGCAUCUUGCCGCCCCAGCAUCUCUGGGAUUCAGGCAUAGCCAAGUGGUUAAAGUGUUUAGCAUGCAGCUCGGUUCUGAGUGGACUUGGAAGCAUUUAGAUAUUCCACUUUACUAUUAUAUAUUUUUUUUAAGUCUAUACAGCUUCAAAUGAAAUGCAAAACAGCAGCUGUAGGUAGCAGCAGCCCCUUUCCCUGUCACGGUGGGGGGAGGGAACGUGCCUGAAAUGCAUAAUGAAAAGG